This is a long non-coding RNA of Etheostoma cragini (Arkansas darter), 144 nucleotides long. RefSeq lists it as uncharacterized. NCBI's taxonomy places the organism in Eukaryota, Metazoa, Chordata, Actinopteri, Perciformes, Percidae. The record is from RefSeq and is a predicted model, not a curated record. The transcript has 3 exons.
GACAAGGGAACAAGGACUAAUAAGGAACAGGUGACACUAGGCUGGGUAAACAGGUGAAACACAUUAGACAAUCACAAGGGCGGGAAAACUAAAGACAGGAAGUUAAACUAGACAAGACAAGGUAGAAAACAGAGACUUCAAAAU